UACGGAGGGUGCGAGCGUUGUCCGGAAUCAUUGGGCGUAAAGGGCGCGUAGGCGGUUGGAUAAGUCAGCUGUGAAAACCACGGGCUUAACUCGUGGCCUGCAGUUGAGACUGUCUGGCUUGAGUGUGGGAGAGGAGAGUGGAAUUCCUGGUGUAGCGGUGAAAUGCGUAGAUAUCAGGAGGAACACCGGUGGCGAAGGCGGCUCUCUGGACCACAACUGACGCUGAGGCGCGAAAGCUAGGGGAGCAAACAGG
RNAcentral lists this ribosomal RNA (253 nucleotides) under uncultured bacterium. RNAcentral's name for it is "partial 16S ribosomal RNA". It matches the Rfam family "Bacterial small subunit ribosomal RNA", at positions 524 to 776 of the family's 1533-position model. The record is from RNAcentral.